This 6453-nucleotide long non-coding RNA is filed under the name Musa acuminata (dwarf banana). RNAcentral's name for it is "long non-coding RNA (MACU_LNC009853)". Lineage: Eukaryota; Viridiplantae; Streptophyta; Magnoliopsida; Zingiberales; Musaceae. The record is from RNAcentral.
UCCGCGACUUCCAGAGAGUUGCUUAAGAGUAGGAGUGAUAGAUGACAGGCUCAAGCUAACAAGUAAGAGUAAAGGUAAGUAGCUGAAGAACGAAAAGCACUAUUUGGAGUUUGGUAGCUGGGGAAGUUAGGCUUGUGGACUGACUUUACUGGUUCAAUUCUGAUAAGUAGUAUUCAUAUUCUUUAUUUCGACUAUGAGUAUUAUAGUUACGCAUCGAUAUCUCUCUUUCUAUUAUUAUUAUUAUUAUUAGAAUAUAUGCAGUUAACCAAUACACCAAUGAAUGGGUGGCCAAAGAGUAGGUACGCCUUGCUAGCUGUGGUUUCGAGCUGAUAGUUAGCAGUGUAAUUCACAGUUCCGAGUUCACGUAUUGGUAGUAGCGAUAUAAGCUCGAAGCGUAUAAGAGGAGGUAGGCUCUGUUGGUGGAGUAGGUCUUCUAAGCAGUAGGCUCAUUCUGCUAGGUAGUAGUGGAUUUCUUGUUGACAUGAAUGAAAGUACUAGAGGCAUUAGUCAAAGAACUCAAGUAAGUAGCAGCAGCCUUGUUAGUAGUUCUAUCAGGUUCGUUAUCCGUGUGUAGAUUCCCAGUUUGUAGUUGUUCCACCCAUAUUAGUAGUUAGCUAAGCCCUAUUCCUCUGUUUAGUCUUAGAGCUCCAUAUUAGUAUUUGUUGGCUCCCCGUGGUAUCCUUUCUUUUAUUGGGCAUGGUCAAAGAUUUCAUUCCUUGUUUGCUACUUUUAUUCUAAUUGACUACCCCGCCCUCCGAUAACUAUAAUAGAGCUGUUGUGGAUAAGUAGCCUCAAAAAGUCUUAGACACACCGUGUUGAGUUCUUAUUAUUACGUGCAUCCACUCCGCAAAUUCCGAUACUCGUGGUUAAUUACCCUAAACUAAACUAGCUGUGCAUACUAGUAAGUCUGAUACUUGAACGACUUUCACUCUUGAUUCUUUGGAUUCUUCUACCUAUUUGUUUGAUUAUUCCUUUCUACAUACUACCCGCCCUGCUACUUAUUACGUAUACUUAUGUUAUGAGUGAAAUUCUGUGACUAUAAUACGAGUUGCUGCCUUAGGCCACUAAGAUCAAUUCUCAUAGUCAUAGUGGAUUUCCAGUUGAUAGUUCAAAAGCACUACCCCGGUGUAACAUUCCUAUUCUUAUUGGCUUUAUUCCUAUUCUGAUUAGUAUUAUGCACUAGGUGCUCGUACCACCAAGACACUACAACAAAGGCAACUGGAAGAAUCCAAACCAAUAAUGAGGACUAUCCCCGGGUACACUGACUUAAUCUCCCUUGCCCAUCUGUCCUCUGGCUACGAAUACUUAGAAUAGGGGUGACUCGGGUAGCCCAUAGCUUUAUUGCGAAUACUUAGAAUAGAGAAUGGACUUAGCACCGGAGCAACUUGAUCCAUCGUUCCAUUGAAAAGAUCAAAAGUGUAGCGGUAGUGGUCUCGAUGACACGGCACAAACAAGAAACUAGUAAACUACUGAUCUUUGGAAUCUGAUAAUGAUCCUUGCUGCUGACUCGCUAUAUGAUUCAACACACUGCUUUGGCUUCCUUUCUUUCUUUCCCUAGCUACUUUCCUAGACUUAACGAGCACUGACACUAGAGCACUUAAACAAAACUUGGAAGAAUUGAUCUGGUCUAAGCAGACUACUUAUUAGGUCUAGGACAACUGGGAUUCUAGCCGGUAGUAGCUUGUCUCUUCCUUUUUGGUUGCAUUCUUUCAUUUUUCCGUUUUCUUCUUAUUAGUACUCGUUUCAUUCUUCCUUUUUUCAUCAAGGUUCAAUUCAGAGUUUCUUGUUCAAUUAUUACACGGAGCACCCGGCACUAGAUCGUGCACCCCCUAUUCUUAUUAGAUACUUUACUCUAACUGGAACUGGCAAUUCCACACUUCACCCAUUCUUAAAGGAAGGAAAGGAGCACUAGGUUUGCUCUGAGUGGGCCAAUUCUGACUUCCGAGUUUUCUUCUGACUUUCUUUUGAGUUUCACUAGGUUUACGAGAAAGAGCUAUAGGGUGGUUAGUGACUUCUUUUCUUCUAUUUAUCAGAAAGGGAUAUGACUGAAUGAACACUUAUAACUAAUACUAAUCAUAAGGGAGCAAUUCCAGUUUCCUUUUUUGGUAAACUGGGCUCCUCCUCUUAUAGGGAAAGCUGUUGUCAGUCAAUCAGGCAAAGGUAAAGCCAAGCACGCAAAGUCCAAGGACAAGUCCUGUUUCUUACAGUCAGCAGUGAAGAAGCUAGGGCAAAAGAUCUAGUUUUGGAGUGAAGUGAGCGGUGAGGAAUUUCUAGUGUGAGUUUAGCAAGUGAAGGUUCCUUUAUUCGUCAGAGUUUUGAGUUUAGCAAGUUAGGUUCCUUUAUUCGUCAGAGUUUUGAGUUUAGCAAGUUAUAGGUUCCUUUAUUCUAUAUUGAUGAUCGCCCAUAUUCCAUAUUCUUCUAGAUAUAUUCCAUUUGAUACUGAGAUAAGUCUUUUCAACAAGCAAGCAAAGGGUAGUGUUCCAGCCAAGGGGAAUAAACCAAGUAAAGGAAGAAACUAGUGCCCAAAGAGAGUAGUGGGUGUUAGGUUCCCGCACUCCCAGUUUAGAGUAAGCAGUCUGGUUCCGCACACGUAGCUUGUUCCCCGAGAGUUAUAUGUGAGUAAGCAGUUAGGUUACCCCUAAUUAUAUCAUGUGAACACUAUAUUCAACGAUUUCUUCUAUUUGAUCAAUUAUAUUAUUUCGAGAUAUAGAUUAUUUGAAAUGGAAUUCCAUAAGUGAGCGCACUAAUUAGCUAGUUUAGGAGUAAUGAGAACGAAGGUCUUUCGAAAGUAAAGGUACCGCUAACUCUUUCACUAUAGGAAGCAAAAGGGAUGCUAUUUGUUGAAUCAAAUCCAUACUAUGCACACGCUAAAUAACUAUGAAUGGAACAAGCAAUGCAAGGGGGAACUAAAGGGUAGAAACAAACAACAAACAAUGCAAGGUCGAACUCAAUAGGUUAAACGACUCUAACUCUUUCUGGCUUCUUCAGCCUUUCCCCGGCUUUAGUUAGCUUUGGAGUAAUAAGUGAGUUUCCAGUGUUGUUACAAUAUGAUUAAGUUAAGCAUCAUACGUGCACUCAAUUAAAAGAACUCGCUUCCGCCCACAAUGACACUCGAACAGAACUAUAACUCGUUGUAAACUCUACUACUUUGAGCUACUGCACCGACACAAGAACAGAAAGAUGAUGCAACACCUGCUUUGCUUACACCUUUUCCCUUACCGAUCCGUGAACCCCUAUUCCUCUACACCCCUAUUCCUCUCCGUGUAGUAAAUCUCUAUUCUUUUUCACUAUGCCUAUGUUCUUUAGUGCAACAACGUCUGCCCUAUCUUUGUCCUUUAAUCAGGUGUGCAGCCUAUGUUCUUUAGUGCAACGUCUGCCCCCUCUGUCCUUUAAUCAGGUGUCUUGCCUCUGCCUCAAAGUCCUGAGGAAGCAGUGUUGUUACUCAAUUCGUGAAGAAAGCAAUGCCCCGUGUUCUUUAAUCUCUUCUAUCAUAUGUUGGAUAUAGAUAUUAUUUUCCGUAUUGGCAAAAGAACAAGCAAGCAAUGUUUUCGCUUAAGUUAGUUUCGCUGUUUGGAAGGAAGGAGGUUACUCUCUUAUGGAAGUAGUGGUGACUUACAUGACUAUUGAAUUGGCAUAGAUUUCGGAGAUGAGAUCCUAUAUAGAAAUCCUUAUAAUGUAUUAUAGAGAUAGAGCAGUCAAACAAAGACACAGGAGAAUAAGAAUAACAGACUCGCGAAGGUAUGUAUGUAGACCUUUAAUCCAGACGAUAGGGGUAGCAAAUUAGAGAGAUUAGCUAGGAGCAACUUUCACCCAUGCUAAACUACUUGAAAUCCCCCUUCUUCAGCCUUAACCAAACAAGAAGCAAGGGAUACUUUAAAGGAAUCAAAGAAUAAUAUGGGAAUUGAAACCCAUCUUCUAUAAUAGAUAGAUUGGUAAGCAUAAUAUAUAGAUUAGUAAGUCAUUUCAUAUACUCUACAUAACAUAAGUAAUUAAGCAAAGCAGACUCUACAUAAGUGAUGAAACCUAAGAGGAGAAUAAAUGACUGGACUGGGGAAGAUAUAUCCUUGUGGAGAGCUACUUCCCUCAGACAUUCAGCAACAACCUAGACUUUACUAGCCUAGCUACCUUGCUUAAAGGAUCGGAACCUCCCAAACACUGCUUACAACUUAUUGAUGAAACAUGGUGACCUUGACGGGGCUCUGUAUACACAUAUGUUAAAAGAAGAGAGGAACCAUAAGUUUACUGUACAAAACCAUGAAGAAUGCUUUGGUGCAAAUAAGAGGUCAGCUGCCUAAUCACUCGCUAACGCGCCUGUAUCCUCAUACUCACUGACACUAAACUUCAAUGCUUGUACCCCGCCCCGGACUAACGCCCAAUCAAAUUAGGACUUGCUUUGCCAAAGACAUAAAGUGAGCGAUUUCUCCAAAGGGUAAUGUUGCUCCAAUACCUAACCAAAGGGCUACAGCGGUUCUUAACUUCAAGAAUAGGUUGGCAAAAGAGAAGCUCAUAUAGGAAAAGGAGAAGCUCAUAGAGUUUUGUAUAGAACUAAGUGAAGUAACCAACUAUAGCAUUCAAGUCAGGAACAGGAUAAGAAGUCGUGUAGUAUCUCGGUGUUGGCGAUGAGAGAAUGAGAGGUGUGGUUGGCAAUUCAUGAAGUUACGCUAAGUAAGAAACAAGUAACGCAAGGGAGGAUCCCAGUGGUAGAGAACAGAACCAUCGCUCCGGUAAGAUGUUAUUUAUACAAAAAUAUGCAUUUCAAACAAGGGCCCACGUAGAAGUGUUUAUAAGGGUUAGUUAACAGGCGUGAAACGCGGCUCAGGUCUCAGUGUUUGGAGUGAGAGUUCAAGCAAGAUUAAGGUCACAGAAUCAAUGACUUUCGAGUUGCUAAAACAGGACUUGCAUCUUGCCACCGUUGUUGGAACUCUAUCACUGGUUCUUGCGCUGGUGCUUGUUAGACUUGCAUCUUGUUCUGUUGUUUCAUGUUAUGUUCCAAAGCAGCUUACUAAUGCCGUAGCUACACUUGCUUACAGAGUUUACCACGAUAGAUUAAUUUCUUCAACAAUUACUGGAUGAUAUGCUUGUUAUCAGAGAUCCAAUCUUACUUAUCAAAUCUCUACGAAGACGGACGAAAUCAGAGAAAAGGAGAAAGAGAGGCAGUUGUUACAUUCGUUGGCCCGGAACUAGGUAAAGCUCUAUAAUUGUAAGCGCAGGAAGCACAAAGAAGGCUCGUGUAAGCUUGGGUUAGCUAGAAGUUAUGUAACGAGGCCCUGAUCGCUUACCGUGUGAGCGCCCGGGAGAAAUGGGUCGGGUGAACCCUAGCCUAACCAAAUGGCUAUUUGAGGGGUGUGCAAGGAAGUAUUUAAGUAAGUUCCUCGAGCUACUAACAAGUCCGUCCUAUAAAGAAGGGGUCAGAACAAGAAGGGUCGGUAGUUAGCAGCGCAGCAACCAAUCCACCUAAGGGAAUCAAUCAAUCCCAGAGCCUCGGUGAUUCGCGACGAAGAUAAUAUUGGAUCAUGCGCACCAACCCAAGGGAUUCUAGCAGCUAAGUGGAUCGAGCCAUUACUUUGAUGCUCUACCCACUAGCCCUAAACAACGGCCAAGUUUCACUGGGACUCAAGAGGGUGCAUGAAGCAGCUCCGGAUGACUUAGCUCGAGAAAUCCAAUUUGAAAGAAAGGGGAGCUGGACUCCCCGAACAUUAUAAGAAAGAUUUCACCGGCCUUCUUCUUUUUUACCAAAUCCAAUCCAGUCCUAUCGCAGUUCGUUGGGAAAGAAACGAUUUAUUAGCUAUCCUCCUGACCUGAGGCGAAUCGACCCGGAUGGGAUGGAAACUCGCCUAUAAGCGGGAGUGCUCACUAUCAAGUCUUGAUUGAUCGAGACAAAGCCAAAGAUAUGGUGGUACUCAACUCUAGGGAGCUACUGGCUAUGUGGGAGAAAUAUGACAUCCUGCUUGGGGAGCCAGGUGCCAAAGGCUUUGUUCGGUAUGGAAGAGGCAACUGCUUUGUACGUUUAUUGUGAACUCGCCGGCAAAGCAAGGUACUCGUAAGGUCGCUGCGUCUACUCGAUCGAACAGGCUGAGGAAAAUCCAAAUAACUCACCAAGGUGAUAGGAAUGAAUGCUCUUUCAAGGUGAUAGGAAUGAAUGCUCUUUAGAAACGGAUGGUGUUUGAUCCUUUCUUUUAUGAUCUAUGGGGGCUCUAUAUUCUGUAAAGUGCUCCAAUCCAAUACAAGGCGCAUGCAUUGCUGCAGCAACAAGGAAAAAAACGAACCGUGCUAUAAUCUUAGCAACUGGGCUAUACCUACUAAUUAUGACCUAUUCCAUGCAUUCGUCGCAUAAAAAAGUGCUUCAAGUGGAUCGAGUCAGUCGAAGUCAUCAUAAGCAGUACAACCAUCUUGGUAAAGUGGAUUUCUAGAGUUAUUUAUAUAUAGUUGUAUUUCUCAAGUGGGUGAGGCGAA